This 372-nucleotide ribosomal RNA is filed under the name uncultured organism. RNAcentral's name for it is "partial 16S ribosomal RNA". It matches the Rfam family "Bacterial small subunit ribosomal RNA", at positions 527 to 896 of the family's 1533-position model. The record is from RNAcentral.
GUAGGUGGCAAGCGUUGUCCGGAAUUAUUGGGCGUAAAGCGCGCGCAGGCGGUUCUUUAAGUCUGAUGUGAAAGCCCACGGCUCAACCGUGGAGGGUCAUUGGAAACUGGAGAACUUGAGUACAGAAGAGGAAAGCGGAAUUCCACGUGUAGCGGUGAAAUGCGUAGAGAUGUGGAGGAACACCAGAGGCGAAGGCGGCUUUCUGGUCUGUAACUGACGCUGAGGCGCGAAAGCGUGGGGAGCAAACAGGGAUUAGAUACCCUGGUAGUCCACGCCGUAAACGAUGAGUGCUAAGUGUUAGGGGGUUUCCGCCCCCUUAGUGCUGCAGCUAACGCAUUAAGCACUCCGCCUGGGGAUACGGCCGCAAGGCUG